GCCUCGGUAGUGUGGUGAUAAAGCACGCGUCCUCGGAUAGGAUGAAACGCGGGUUCGAUUUUCGCUUGAGGCC
Molecule: non-coding RNA, 73 nt
Organism: Parelaphostrongylus tenuis
Lineage: Eukaryota; Metazoa; Nematoda; Chromadorea; Rhabditida; Metastrongylidae
Source: the annotation of a GenBank genome assembly